This 1524-nucleotide ribosomal RNA is filed under the name Undibacterium sp. KW1. RNAcentral describes it as "bacterial SSU rRNA". It matches the Rfam family "Bacterial small subunit ribosomal RNA". The record is from RNAcentral. Lineage: Bacteria; Pseudomonadati; Pseudomonadota; Betaproteobacteria; Burkholderiales; Oxalobacteraceae.
UGAAGAGUUUGAUCCUGGCUCAGAUUGAACGCUGGCGGCAUGCCUUACACAUGCAAGUCGAACGGCAGCGCGGGGCAACCUGGCGGCGAGUGGCGAACGGGUGAGUAAUAUAUCGGAACAUACCCUAGAGUGGGGGAUAACGUAGCGAAAGUUACGCUAAUACCGCAUACGAUCUAAGGAUGAAAGCGGGGGAUCGCAAGACCUCGUGCUCAUGGAGUGGCCGAUAUCUGAUUAGCUAGUUGGUAGGGUAAAAGCCUACCAAGGCGACGAUCAGUAGCUGGUUUGAGAGAACGACCAGCCACACUGGAACUGAGACACGGUCCAGACUCCUACGGGAGGCAGCAGUGGGGAAUUUUGGACAAUGGGGGCAACCCUGAUCCAGCAAUGCCGCGUGAGUGAAGAAGGCCCUCGGGUUGUAAAGCUCUUUUGUCAGGGAAGAAACGGUGUUUCCUAAUACGGAAUGCUAAUGACGGUACCUGAAGAAUAAGCACCGGCUAACUACGUGCCAGCAGCCGCGGUAAUACGUAGGGUGCAAGCGUUAAUCGGAAUUACUGGGCGUAAAGCGUGCGCAGGCGGUUUUAUAAGUCUGAUGUGAAAUCCCCGGGCUCAACCUGGGAACUGCAUUGGAGACUGUAAGGCUAGAGUGUGUCAGAGGGGGUAGAAUUCCACGUGUAGCAGUGAAAUGCGUAGAUAUGUGGAGGAAUACCGAUGGCGAAGGCAGCCCCCUGGGAUAACACUGACGCUCAUGCACGAAAGCGUGGGGAGCAAACAGGAUUAGAUACCCUGGUAGUCCACGCCCUAAACGAUGUCUACUAGUUGUCGGGUCUUAAUUGACUUGGUAACGCAGCUAACGCGUGAAGUAGACCGCCUGGGGAGUACGGUCGCAAGAUUAAAACUCAAAGGAAUUGACGGGGACCCGCACAAGCGGUGGAUGAUGUGGAUUAAUUCGAUGCAACGCGAAAAACCUUACCUACCCUUGACAUGGAAGGAAUCCCGAAGAGAUUUGGGAGUGCUCGAAAGAGAACCUUUACACAGGUGCUGCAUGGCUGUCGUCAGCUCGUGUCGUGAGAUGUUGGGUUAAGUCCCGCAACGAGCGCAACCCUUGUCAUUAGUUGCUACGAAAGGGCACUCUAAUGAGACUGCCGGUGACAAACCGGAGGAAGGUGGGGAUGACGUCAAGUCCUCAUGGCCCUUAUGGGUAGGGCUUCACACGUCAUACAAUGGUACAUACAGAGGGCCGCCAACCCGCGAGGGGGAGCUAAUCCCAGAAAGUGUAUCGUAGUCCGGAUUGUAGUCUGCAACUCGACUACAUGAAGUUGGAAUCGCUAGUAAUCGCGGAUCAGCAUGUCGCGGUGAAUACGUUCCCGGGUCUUGUACACACCGCCCGUCACACCAUGGGAGCGGGUUCUGCCAGAAGUAGUUAGCUUAACCGCAAGGAGGGCGAUUACCACGGCAGGGUUCGUGACUGGGGUGAAGUCGUAACAAGGUAGCCGUAUCGGAAGGUGCGGCUGGAUCACCUCCUUU